UACGGAAGGGGCUAGCGUUGUUCGGAGUUACUGGGCGUAAAGAGCGCGUAGGCGGCUUACCAAGUUGGGGGUGAAAUCCCGGAGCUCAACUCCGGAACUGCCUUCAAAACUGGUAGGCUCGAGUCCGGAAGAGGGGCGUGGAAUUCCCAGUGUAGAGGUGAAAUUCGUAGAUAUUGGGAAGAACACCGGUGGCGAAGGCGGCGCCCUGGCCCGGUACCGACGCUGAGGCGCGAAAGCGUGGGGAGCAAACAGG
RNAcentral lists this ribosomal RNA (253 nucleotides) under uncultured bacterium. RNAcentral's name for it is "partial 16S ribosomal RNA". It matches the Rfam family "Bacterial small subunit ribosomal RNA", at positions 524 to 776 of the family's 1533-position model. The record is from RNAcentral.